UGUUGCUGGCCGCUAGCGCGCGUGUGCGUUCGUGUGACGGCUGAGACUGAAAAUAUCUUCGCGCCAGAGUCCUUACCUAAUGACCAGUUACCGAACGUACGACCCGCGAACGCGAAGCGCGACUAUUUGUACAUACUAACCUACUAACGCUAAAUCGUUUACUAAUCGUUAUCGAACUAAUUAUGUGAAAAGUCACUCAACAUUGUACAUCAAAUCAUCCUAGUGAAAAAUGAAACUUAGACGAAUGUUGUGCCCGAUUGUUGACAGACCUCGAAAAAAGUGACAGUGGUGUGCUAGCUCUUGAAUUAAUUGGUGCAACCGUAGAAAAUUGUGAAUAAUGGGAAGUCAGUGCUGCAAAUGCGCCUCGGAGAAAAACAA
Long non-coding RNA from Nilaparvata lugens (brown planthopper), 378 nucleotides. RefSeq lists it as uncharacterized. The transcript has 2 exons. Lineage: Eukaryota; Metazoa; Arthropoda; Insecta; Hemiptera; Delphacidae. The record is from RefSeq and is a predicted model, not a curated record.